UAACAACAGAAUGGCUUAGAUGGGCGGUCGGCUAGUCUCCUGCAAAGGAGGUGAUGCCUGUGGAGGUUAAAGAUACGCUGAUGUUGAUGAUUCAAUUUGCAACGUUGGUGAUCUUGAUUGUUUCCUUCAACAAAAAGAAAUAGACCGCCCUCUGGAAAAGGUUAGCGGUCUAUUUUACUAAUCCAACCCUACAGCCACCGCCCUUAUAAGCGGCUGUUGUAAAAGAGUGAGGAUGUUAGAGCAUCCUUA
This 249-nucleotide small RNA is filed under the name Paenibacillus polymyxa SC2. RNAcentral's name for it is "BsrG". It matches the Rfam family "BsrG". From Rfam's summary of the family: bsrE, bsrG and bsrH pair through intermolecular interactions with antisense sRNAs. SR4 interaction with the 3'UTR of bsrG RNA promotes bsrG degradation and inhibits its translation. The record is from Rfam by way of RNAcentral. Lineage: Bacteria; Bacillati; Bacillota; Bacilli; Caryophanales; Paenibacillaceae.